This 434-nucleotide ribosomal RNA is filed under the name uncultured Lachnospiraceae bacterium. RNAcentral's name for it is "bacterial SSU rRNA". It matches the Rfam family "Bacterial small subunit ribosomal RNA", at positions 341 to 792 of the family's 1533-position model. Lineage: Bacteria; Bacillati; Bacillota; Clostridia; Lachnospirales; Lachnospiraceae. The record is from RNAcentral.
ACGGGAGGCAGCAGUGGGGAAUAUUGGACAAUGGGCGCAAGCCUGAUCCAGCGACGCCGCGUGAGCGAUGAAGUAUUUCGGUAUGUAAAGCUCUAUCAGCAGGGAAGAAAAUGACGGUACCUGACUAAGAAGCUCCGGCUAAAUACGUGCCAGCAGCCGCGGUAAUACGUAUGGAGCAAGCGUUAUCCGGAUUUACUGGGUGUAAAGGGAGCGUAGACGGCAGUGCAAGUCAGAAGUGAAAGCCCGGGGCUUAACUCCGGGACUGCUUUUGAAACUGUGCAGCUAGAGUGCAGGAGAGGUAAGCGGAAUUCCUAGUGUAGCGGUGAAAUGCGUAGAUAUUAGGAGGAACACCAGUGGCGAAGGCGGCUUACUGGACUGUAACUGACGUUGAGGCUCGAAAGCGUGGGGAGCAAACAGGAUUAGAUACCCUGGUA